Molecule: transfer RNA, 69 nt
Filed under: Periplaneta americana (American cockroach)
Lineage: Eukaryota; Metazoa; Arthropoda; Insecta; Blattodea; Blattidae
Description: tRNA-His
Rfam family: tRNA
About the family: Transfer RNA (tRNA) molecules are approximately 80 nucleotides in length. Their secondary structure includes four short double-helical elements and three loops (D, anti-codon, and T loops). Further hydrogen bonds mediate the characteristic L-shaped molecular structure. tRNAs have two regions of fundamental functional importance: the anti-codon, which is responsible for specific mRNA codon recognition, and the 3' end, to which the tRNAs corresponding amino acid is attached (by aminoacyl-tRNA synthetases). tRNAs cope with the degeneracy of the genetic code in two manners: having more than one tRNA (with a specific anti-codon) for a particular amino acid; and 'wobble' base-pairing, i.e. permitting non-standard base-pairing at the 3rd anti-codon position.
Source: RNAcentral
ACUUAAGUAGUUUAAUGUAGUAAAAUGUUGAUUUGUGGUGUCAAUGAUAUAAUUUAUUUAUCUUAGGUU